Molecule: small nucleolar RNA, 128 nt
Organism: Diceros bicornis minor
Lineage: Eukaryota; Metazoa; Chordata; Mammalia; Perissodactyla; Rhinocerotidae
Product: small nucleolar RNA SNORA25
Exons: 1
Source: RefSeq, a predicted model, not a curated record
GGGUCUUUUCAAAGAUGGCCUAUGGAGCUGUGAAACCAGGAGCUCUGAAUGCUAUGACCAAAGACUGAUGUUCUCCAUAGAAUGCCACAGUCACUUAACAGGCUAUGUGUUCCUGAGGAGAUGUAGCC